GUAGGUGGCAAGCGUUGUCCGGAAUUAUUGGGCGUAAAGCGCGCGCAGGCGGUCCUUUAAGUCUGAUGUGAAAGCCCACGGCUCAACCGUGGAGGGUCACUGGAAACUGGGGGACUUGAGUACAGAAGAGGAAAGCGGAAUUCCAAGUGUAGCGGUGAAAUGCGUAGAGAUUUGGAGGAACACCAGUGGCGAAGGCGGCUUUCUGGUCUGUAACUGACGCUGAGGCGCGAAAGCGUGGGGAGCAAACAGGGAUUAGAUACCCUGGUAGUCCACGCCGUAAACGAUGAGUGCUAAGUGUUAGGGGGUUUCCGCCCCUUAGUGCUGCAGCUAACGCAUUAAGCACUCCGCCUGGGGAUACGGCCGCAAGGCUG
RNAcentral lists this ribosomal RNA (371 nucleotides) under uncultured organism. RNAcentral's name for it is "partial 16S ribosomal RNA". It matches the Rfam family "Bacterial small subunit ribosomal RNA", at positions 527 to 896 of the family's 1533-position model. The record is from RNAcentral.